AUUGAGGAGGGAAAGCCUAUAAAAACGUGAGCCCUAUGAUUAGCUGGAAAACAGGGAAAUAGAGGCUGGUGAGUUCUUGACGGAUCCAGUGGUCCGGAACCUCGUCCCCUCGGAGGCUGAGAACAAUAGGCUCCGAACCCCGCCCGGCAUCGCAGCAUCUAAGGCGGAGGAUGCGCAGGGCCCGUCGUCUGCGGGAAGCGCAAAGAGCCGCACUCGGGAAGCCCAUUAGCGAAAUAAUAGGUUUUGAUCCCACUGUUUUGAAAAGGGGGGUCUGAUCUGUUUGUCAGUGGACAUCCUGAUGAGAUCAUGGAUCCUUUAAGGAUUGAACCUGGGGUAAGUAAUAGUA
Molecule: long non-coding RNA, 346 nt
Filed under: Phascolarctos cinereus (koala)
Lineage: Eukaryota; Metazoa; Chordata; Mammalia; Diprotodontia; Phascolarctidae
Description: lncRNA (ENSPCIG00000035454.1)
Source: RNAcentral